GUGUUCUCGGUUAAUCCAGUCCAAAUUAUUAAGCCUUCAUAAUCCUCCAAGACACGUAAUCAGAUAAGACUGCAACUGAUUUGAAGAAAUCCUUAAUUGCAGAAAUCAUCAAGCCUUGCUCUUCUGCUGGGCGAGAUGAAAGCGUUCAUCUUCUCCGGAGAACACACGAAGUCCUCACCUUGCAAGCAGAGACCAGGCCCUCCCCAGACACUGAGCUUGGUGGCACUUGGAUUUUGGACUUCCAGCCUCCAAAAUUGUGAGAAAAAGUGCUGAAUAUCACAGAACACAAAGAAAAGAGAAAGAGAAACUGACAGAGCCUAUAAAUGUUGCACGAAGGUUCAGAUACAUACAGUUCUGCUGGCUUUUUAAGGAGCAGUGUUUCCUAUAUCCUAAGGCAGAUGGACAUGUUGGGAUGGAGGGACAUGGAUGGAGCUGGAAGCCAUUAUCCUCGGAAAAUUAACACAGGAACAGAAAACCAAACACUGCAUGUUUGUGGGAGCUGAACAAUGAGAACACAUGGACCCAGGGAGGGGAACAACACACACUGGAGCCUGUUGGCGGUAGUGGGGGUAUGAGGGAAGGAAGAGCAUCAGAAAAAAAUAACUAAUGUAUACUGGGCUUAAUACCUAGGUGAUUGGUUGAUAGGUGCAGCAAACCACCAUGGCACACAUUUACCUAUGUAACAAGCCUGUUGCACAUGUAUCCCGGAAUGUAAAAUAAAAUAAAAUAAAAU
This 733-nucleotide long non-coding RNA is filed under the name Homo sapiens (human). Its description in RNAcentral is "non-protein coding CASC6:3". Lineage: Eukaryota; Metazoa; Chordata; Mammalia; Primates; Hominidae. The record is from RNAcentral.